AUUGAACGCUGGCGGCAGGCCUAACACAUGCAAGUCGAGCGGAGCGGCGGACGGGUGAGUAAUGCAUAGGAAUCUGCCUGGUCGGGGGGGAUAACGUCCGGAAACGGGCGCUAAUACGGCAUAAUAUCAGACGAGCCUGGGUUGGAUUAGCUAGUUGGUGGGGUAAAGGCCAACCACGGCGAGGAUUCGUAGCUGGUCUGAGAGGAUGAGCAGUCACACUGGAACGGAACCAAGGUACGGGCGCCACAGGGAGGCGGCGGUGGGGAAUGUUAGAAAAUGGACGAAAGCCUGAUCCAGCCCUGCCGCGUGUGUGAAGAAGGUCUUCGGAUUGUAAAGCACUUUAAGUUGGGAGGCGUUACCAACAGAAUAAGCACCGGCUAACUUCGUGCCAGCAGCCGCGGUAAUAC
This 407-nucleotide ribosomal RNA is filed under the name uncultured bacterium. RNAcentral's name for it is "partial 16S ribosomal RNA". It matches the Rfam family "Bacterial small subunit ribosomal RNA", at positions 29 to 526 of the family's 1533-position model. The record is from RNAcentral.